Molecule: ribosomal RNA, 468 nt
Filed under: uncultured bacterium
Lineage: Bacteria
Description: partial 16S ribosomal RNA
Rfam family: Bacterial small subunit ribosomal RNA
Source: RNAcentral
GACGAACGCUGGCGGCGUGCUUAACACAUGCAAGUCGAACGGAAAGGCCCUGCUUUUGUGGGUUGCUCGAGUGGCGAACGGGUGAGUAACACGUGAGUAACCUGCCCUUGACUUUGGGAUAACUUCAGGAAACUGGGGCUAAUAUCGGAUAGGAGAUCCUGAUGCAUGGUGGGGGUUGGAAAGUUUCGGCGGUUGGGGAUGUACUCGCGGCUUAUCAGCUUGUUGGUGUGGUAGUGGCUUACCAAGGCUUUGACGGGUAGCCGGCCUGAGAGGGUGACCGGCCACAUGGGGACUAAGAGACGGCCCAGACUCCUACGGGAGGCAGCAGUGGGGAAUAUUGCAGAACGGGCGGAAGCCUGAGGCAGCAACGCCGCGUGCGGGAUGACGGCCUUCUGGUUGUAAACCGCUUUCGCCUGUGACGAAGCGGGAGUGACGGUAAUGGGUAAAGAAGCACCGGCUAACUACGUG